GAUGAAGAACGCAGCGAAAUGCGAUAAGUAAUGUGAAUUGCAGAAUUCAGUGAAUCAUCGAAUCUUUGAACGCACCUUGCGCUCCUUGGUAUUCCGAGGAGCAUGCCUGUCCGAGCGUCAUUGCUGCCCUCAAGCACGGCUUGUGUGUUGGGCCUCCGUCCUCCUCCCGGGGGACGGGCCCGAAAGGCAGCGGCGGCACCGCGUCCGGUCCUCGAGCGUAUGGGGCUUCGUCACCCGCUCUUGUAGGCCCGGCCGGCGCUUGCCGACACAUCAAUCUUUUUUCCAGGUUGACCUCGGAUCAGGUAGGGAUACCCGCUGAACUUAAGCAUAUCAAUAAGCGGAGGA
RNAcentral lists this unclassified non-coding RNA (345 nucleotides) under soil metagenome. RNAcentral's name for it is "partial contains 5.8S ribosomal RNA, internal transcribed spacer 2, and large subunit ribosomal RNA". The stretch from base 1 to 120 matches the Rfam family "5.8S ribosomal RNA", at positions 35 to 154 of the family's 154-position model. The record is from RNAcentral.